GUUUGCACUUGUCGGGGAAGGGUGAGAACCUUCGAUUAAGGUUCGACUCGAGCGAAAGCAAGAGAACGUUGCCAACGGCAACGGCCCGUAGGGUGAGGAGUGAAGCGACGAAUAAUCCUUCCCCCACCACCA
This 132-nucleotide small RNA is filed under the name Salmonella enterica. RNAcentral describes it as "RtT sRNA". It matches the Rfam family "RtT RNA". Rfam says of the family: This family represents a bacterial cis-regulatory element known as RtT RNA. The exact function of RtT is unknown although it is thought that it may be involved in changing the cellular response in relation to amino acid starvation. Lineage: Bacteria; Pseudomonadati; Pseudomonadota; Gammaproteobacteria; Enterobacterales; Enterobacteriaceae. The record is from RNAcentral. RNAcentral also lists the same sequence under 14 other names.